Molecule: long non-coding RNA, 978 nt
Organism: Homo sapiens (human)
Lineage: Eukaryota; Metazoa; Chordata; Mammalia; Primates; Hominidae
Product: long intergenic non-protein coding RNA 1046
Source: Ensembl
CAUGGUAGAGCAAGACAGCAAUAAGCUCUUCCACUCUGCUCUCUGGGGCUGCCACUUGGCUGAGGAGGGGACAUGUUACACCUGGGCCAAAUCAUCCUGGGUCUCCCACUCAAAGCGCCACUCUCAUGUCUGCAGCGGCCUGUGCAAAUAUGCAAAGCCCCCUUUGAAAGCUCUGUGGUGCUGCUUAGCGGUGUUCUUUGCACCUUGAACAAUGCUCACUCACAUGCAAGACCUGCCCAUGGACAUACCAGGAUUAGCAAAGCAAUCCACGGUCCUGAAUUUCUGUGGGUGCCUGCAUUUGCUAUGCUACAAGGGGAAGAGAUUGUCAUUUACAGUGAAAAAUAAAGGUGGUGUUAAUUAAAUUUAUUUUCCUGAGUGCCGACGUCUCCAGACCUCUAUUCCUUUUGUAAGAAAGCUUAUCAGAUGGAAUGAUCACAAUGGCGACGGUGAAAGUUCUACAGGUACGCUUUUUGUACACUCCAUUUUAGAUACAGGAUGAAGAUGGGGAUAAUGAAAAACAAAAGUCCUGCCAGCACUAACAUUGUCAAGCCGUGAUAUCGGCACUUAAAACAACCGUUUGUGAGAGAAAACCUGGUAUCUGGCUUCUGACGUUUCAGUACAAUCUUCUAUUGUGCAUCUGGAUGACAUCACUGUUGUGUCCUUUGCAGAGAUGUGCAUACAGGGCCCUAACUGUCCAGGAGCUGCUACGGACAGAGCCCGGUAAUCCCGACGACUUAGUGGAUCCUGUGCCUCCCAAGGGUGGCGCCCACGGUGACUGCACACUUGUCACAGACUGGCAGGCCAUUUGUCUGCUGCAGCCCACCAAAUCCCACAGAUCCUUUUGGAUCCUUUGCAGCAGGCUUUUCAUACCUUGAGUCUUACUUAAUGUUCACAUGAAAAAGCAACUGCUGUUUGCUGUGCUCAUAAAAGUCUUGUUAGAAAUUAACACCUUGUGUGAAUAAAAACAUCAAGUAAGUA